CUGCGUGGUGGACUCUCGCGAGAGCGCGCAGCGCAGCGACUCGCCGCUGAGGGACUUUAGGAAUGAGGUGGGGUGCGGAGAAGCUUCGCGGGGCGGAGGGACACAGUCGGAGGCCGACCAGACAUUUUGCGGGAGAAGAUGGCACAGUGUGGAAAAGGAGAGUAGGAGGCUUCCCUCAGCCGUGGAGUCUGGGAGGCGGGGAGACGUCUCUGAGUUCUCCUGUCUCACAGCAAGACAGCCAGCAGACCCAGUGCCACCAGCCAGUCUUGCUCCAUCUUUUGAAAUGGACACUGGAUGAGCAUGAAAUACUCCAGUUCAGCUGCUCAUCAUUAGAUUUCAUGGAAUCCUCAUUGUACUGCUAG
This 362-nucleotide long non-coding RNA is filed under the name Ursus maritimus (polar bear). RNAcentral's name for it is "lncRNA (ENSUMAG00000006201.1)". The record is from RNAcentral. Lineage: Eukaryota; Metazoa; Chordata; Mammalia; Carnivora; Ursidae.